This 638-nucleotide ribosomal RNA is filed under the name uncultured bacterium. Its description in RNAcentral is "bacterial SSU rRNA". It matches the Rfam family "Bacterial small subunit ribosomal RNA", at positions 233 to 885 of the family's 1533-position model. The record is from RNAcentral.
GCGGCCUAUCAGCUUGUUGGUGGGGUAACGGCCUACCAAGGCAACGACGGGUAGCUGGUCUGAGAGGACGAUCAGCCACACUGGGACUGAGACACGGCCCAGACUCCUACGGGAGGCAGCAGUAGGGAAUCUUGCGCAAUGGGGGAAACCCUGACGCAGCGACGCCGCGUGCGGGAUGAAGGCCUUCGGGUCGUAAACCGCUUUCAGCAGGGACGAAAUUGACGGUACCUGCAGAAGAAGGCCCGGCCAACUACGUGCCAGCAGCCGCGGUGAUACGUAGGGGUCUAGCGUUGUCCGGAAUUAUUGGGCGUAAAGAGCUCGUAGGCGGUUCGGCAAGUCGGAUGUGAAAUCUCCACGCUUAACGUGGAGGGGCCAUUCGAAACUGCCGUGACUCGAGUCCGGUAGGGGAGUUCGGAAUUCCCGGUGUAGCGGUGAAAUGCGCAGAUAUCGGGAGGAACACCAGUGGCGAAGGCGGAACUCUGGGCCGGAACUGACGCUGAGGAGCGAAAGCGUGGGGAGCGAACAGGAUUAGAUACCCUGGUAGUCCACGCCGUAAACGUUGGGCACUAGGUGUGGGGUUCUAUCGACGGAUUCCGUGCCGUAGCUAACGCAUUAAGUGCCCCGCCUGGGGAGUACGG